UAAUAAGCUAUUAAGGGCUAAUGGUGGAUGCCUAGACUGUAAGAGGCGAUGAAAGACGUAUUAGGCUGCGAUAAGCCUCGGGGAGCUGCCAAAGAGCUUUGAUCCGGGGAUUUCUGAAUGGGGCAACCCAGCAUAUAGAGAUAUAUGUUACCCUACGGGGAGCUAACCUGGUGAAGUGAAACAUCUCAGUAGCCAGAGGAAGAGAAAUCAAACGAGAUUCCGUCAGUAGCGGCGAGCGAAAGCGGAUUAGGACAAACCCAAUGCUUGCAUUGGGGGUUGUAGGACCAUAACGUGAGACUAAAGAGGAUAGAUGAAAUACUUGGAAAAGUGUAGCAUAGAAGGUGAAACUCCUGUAAUUUAAAUUCUCAAUAGCUCUAAUGGUAUCCUGAGUAGGUCGGAACACGUGAUAUUUUGACUGAAACCGGGGGGACCACCCUCCAAUCCUAAAUACUACUUACAGAUCGAUAGUGAACAAGUACCGUGAGGGAAAGGUGAAAAGUACUCCAGCGAGGAGAGUGAAAUAGAACCUGAAACCAUUAGCUUACAAUCAUUCGGAGCCCUAUGAUUUAUCAGGGUGACGGACUGCCUUUUGCAUAAUGAGCCUGCGAGUUG
RNAcentral lists this ribosomal RNA (612 nucleotides) under Campylobacterales bacterium. RNAcentral's name for it is "partial 23S ribosomal RNA". It matches the Rfam family "Bacterial large subunit ribosomal RNA", at positions 1 to 630 of the family's 2925-position model. The record is from RNAcentral. Lineage: Bacteria; Pseudomonadati; Campylobacterota; Epsilonproteobacteria; Campylobacterales.